AUGUUCACGUGUUUGCUAACUCCAGAUACGUGCACAUUGUAUCCUGUAAGAGCUUCCCUUCCCCCUCCCCACCCCACCCAAGCCAUUGAGUCCACCGAUCAACAACAGCACCAACAACGUAAUACAGAGGCGAUUCGUCGUACGAGUACACACUCAAAAGCUUCGCGCGCGCACGCCCACCAGAAGAAGAGAAAGAGCUCAACCCUGUUCGCUGCAGGGGCACGCUGAACACUCCCACACUCGCACGUAAAAGUACAGACUUUUAAAUCCAUGUCCUACGUUGUGUACGCGGUGGAGAAUGCGGAUCGGAUGAUCCUGAUGGGUCCGACGGUGGCGGACCAGCCCACCUUCAAGGCCAUCACGCUUAGCUACAUUCAGGCGCCAAAGCUGGCACGCCGCACGGCCUCUGGCGACUUCACGCCGGAGGAGCCAUACGCUUACGAGGCGGCCGAGCUUAUCCGCUCCACCUUCAUUGGCAAGCAGGUGCAGUUCGUCGAAGACUACUACAUCGAGGCAUUGCAACGAAGCGCCGGCCGCAUCAUGGGCUCUAACCACCAGGAAGCUACGGGCAUGCUGCUCAAGGAAGGCUUGGCCACGCUGCCCGACCGUAUGCCGCCGCGUAUAGAGAAGGAACUGUACGAAAUAUACUCGCAGAUGUCCGCAUCAGCGCGCGCGGCCCGCAAAGGUCUCUUUAGCGGCGAUAGUGCCAAGCACGUGCGCCACAUGAGAUCGUAUGCCCCAGAGGAGCUCGCAGAGAAAAUUGAGGGCGUCAAAGGCCAGCAGCUCUUGUCGCGCGUCGAGAAAGUGGUGUCGCCGACGCUGCUCAUCAUCUCCGUCAAGGAGCUAGGCGACACGCAGUUCGCAGCCCAUCUGACCGGUGUCACCACAAAGGACAACGGCGACGAGUCCAUCAACGCCGAGGCCAAGUUCUUUGUUGAGCGUCUGCUGCAGAACCGCAAUGUGAAGGUGCGCUACGACGGCCUCGACGGGUUCAACAACGUCAUGAUUUCCAUCAUGUCCCCAAAGGGCUCCUUCCAGGAAGAGCUCCUGUCCAAGGGCUACGUCAAGGUUCAUAACAUGACAUUGCCGCUCUCCACCCGCAUCGACGAGAUCGCCUCUGCCGAGGCUGCCGCCAAGAAGAAGCGCGUCGGGUGCUGGAAAAACUACGUGGAGCCAGUUGUGAUCGCUCCGACCGAAACUGCCAAGGACGACAACGGUGCCUCCGCCCCUGCUGCUAACGGCGAGGAGGCCCUGGUCGACUCCAAGGCCCCUGCGGCACCCAAAGUGGCCGGUCUUCCGACCACGCUGCCGGACGGUACCCCCGGCCCGGUGUACACGGGGCCGAUCGAGUUUGUUGGCACGCUGGUGCAGGUGGUGCACGGCGACACAGUCGUUGUCCGCGACGACGCCUCUGGUCGCCUCUUCCGUGUCUCUCUGGCUGGCGUGCGCAGCAGCAAGAACAUUGACCGCGACCAGGACGGCAACUCGCCCGAGACGCGCGUUACGUACCGCGACUACUCGUGGGAGGCCAAGGAAUUCCUGCGAAGCCGGUACAUUGGAGCGAAGGUGGUGGUGCUCGUCGAGUACGCGCGUGUGAUGCCGGAGACGAAGGAGAUCCGCCCCGCUGCAACGGUGGAGGUGAAGCACACGGGUGUCAACAUUGGUGUGGCGCUGCUGGAGACCGGCUACGCUACCUUCUUCCUCGGUCGAAACGACAAGAACUCCAAGGCGAGCGAGCUGGCCGCCGCCGAGGAUGGCGCGAAGGAGGAGAAGAAGGGCAUUCACCGCGACACCCCUGCGCCGCCGAUGAAGGUAGUCGAGCUGAACCAUCUCGGGGAGACGCGCAGCCGCUACUACCUCAGCUUCCUCCAGCGCGGUAUGCAGGGUAGCCGGCCGCCGUCGCUGAAGGGCGUGGUGGAUCUCGUGCUCGGCCCCAGCUCGCUGCGCGUGUACAUUCCGAAGGAGAACUUUCAGAUCCCGGUCAAGGUCGCCGGCAUCGUGACGCCGUCCGCCGCUUUUAACCCAAACGAGAAGGCGGACCCGUUUGCGCAGGAGGCGAAGGACUUCGUGAUCGACCUCGUGCAGCAGCGCAAUGCCACCAUCCAGGUUUUCACCUCCGACCGUGCAGGCAACUUUAUCUCCUCUGUCACCCUGGAGGACGGCACAAACAUCUCCGUCGCGCUGGUCGCCGAGGGCUUCGCGACGGUGGCGAACGCCGACCGCUUGCCUUUUGCGCAACAACUCGUAGACGCGGAAGGUGCCGCGCGCGAGGCGAAGAAGCACAUCUGGUCCGCCACGGGCGCCAUCCCGCAGCGUGCAGUGAAGAUGGAGCAGGAGCGCGCCGCCUCCAACCCGCAAGCGCUGGCCCGCGUUGUCGACGAGACGUCCAAGUUCGCGCCGUACAUGAUCACCGAAAUCGCCGACGACGGGCUGUCGGUGUACUUGCAGGGCUACGACGCAGAGCAAGACAGCAGGAAGGGUCACAUCCAGGAUCUCAUCAACCGCACCGCCGCCGGCGAUGGGCACACCCCCAAGAAGGGUGAAAGCGUGAUCGCCCAGUACAGCGGUGACAAGACGUGGUGCCGGGCCACAGUGCUCAAGGCCCCACGCGACGACAGGGCGGAGGUGAAGUUCAUUGACUUUGGCAACACCGAGACCGUGCCGGUGAAGAACAUCCGCGCCGUGCCGCGCGGCCCCGAGUACGCGCUGGUGCGCGACACGCCCGCGUUUGCGAAGCUGGCCCGCCUUGCCUACCUCAAGUCUGGUGAUGCGAAUGAAAUGCUCGCUGGCGCCACCUACGCAGCCGUAGAGGAGUACUCUGACGGUGAGGUUCUGGCGAAGGCCGUGUACCGCGACGGCCUUGGCAACGUGUAUUAUACCGUCACCACCAACGCGAAUGUGCCCUCGCUGAGUGAGACGCUGCUGCAGCGUGGCUUGGCUCUGCUGGACCGCCGGGCCUCUGCGGUGGACGCUACGGAUUAUCGCCGCCAUGAAGCUGCGCAGGAGAUCGCACGUAAAGGGCACAAGAACCUUUGGCAGUACGGCGAUAUUGACGAGGCUGACGUCGACUACUAGAGGGGUGCCGUACACGCGCGCACACACAAGCACGCGCACAGUUUCACACAAGCCCCUCCGCUAGGGCUUCUUUCCUUUUUUGUCUGUGCUUCUGGCUCCAGGGAGUGAGCGCCGAGUGCUGCCGAACGUCUCCGGGUGAGAUCGGCAAGAAUGUGUGACUUUUGUCUGUGCUUCUUACGACGAUGGUGUCUGCAUGCGUGCGUGGCGAAACCUCAGCGACUCUUUUGCCUUCACCGCGCCAGCCCUCUCUAUUCCUCUCUCAUAUGCGCGUUUGCCCUCUACUGUCUGUGUCUGUAUAUAUAUACACACACACACACACCUGUGUGUUUGCCUGUGUGUAUUUGGACGGGGUGUGCGUGUGUGUGGAUGAGGUUUCUGUAUUUUUUUGUGCGUUUUCGUUUUCCACAUGGGCGUUUCUUCUGUUUUACUUUUCUCUUUUUCUCUAUGGAUGCUCCCUACCACCCUUAAUGAUUCCCUAGUGUUUGCUCUUUGUCAUUUUUUUUUUUGCGUGCGCACGCGGUAUCGCUCGCUGAGAGAUUGUGUUCGAUGUCGCGUGCUUGUACUUCCUUGUCUCUCUUUCUCAGUGUCUCUGUAGAGGGAUGCGGGUUUGGCUGGACAGCAGGAUUCACUGUCAUGCGUCGUAACUCACGUGCCCUUCUGCGUGCUCUCACCACUUCACCCUGUCUCGCUGAUGUCUCCAUCACGCUUGUUUGUGUGCCUGAGUGUUUCCGCUCGCGUCCUCUACCGCAUGCGUGAGGGUUCAGCGACGGAAAGCUUACUCGCACGCGGGUUGUGUGGCUUUAGCCGCCCUGCUUGUCAACUAGGUCGGUUUCACGUCCCUCUCUCCCGUCCGCGUUGCCUUUUCUGUAAUUGGCGUUUUUCUUUCCUGUGUGCAUACGUCCGUGCUGUUUGGCCUCAACGCCCGGUGAUGUGUUGGCGACGUGAAUAAUAAAUGUGUCUUUCUUUUCUCCCCGUCAUGAGCCCUGCGGGAGGCGAUACGUGCAGCCGGGCAGCGAGGUACAUCGCCCCUCCCUCGAUCUCUCCAGCCUUUUAUCUCUUUAUCUCGGCUGGUCAAUGGGCAACGUGGAGAUUCCAUGAGCUGGCGUCCGAAAGAUGAGCGCGUACCAUUUCGAUUCACGACUUGCGUCAACUUAACCGACACGUGCCGCAUGUGGUGGUGGUGUUGCGUGGAUGUCGAUGAUGUGUUCUGCGUUCUUUAUCACGAUCUGAAAGGGAGUUUACCUCCUCCACCCUUUUCCCUGCACAUUAUCUACGCGCUUGUUUGCGUGGGCCUCUGCAAGCCGCGCAUGGGCUGGCGGGCGGGGGCGUGUGCUGACAGCCUUUUUGUGCGCAUGAGGCAAAACAAAGCAAACAGGCACCAAGACGAAGGUGGAACGAGCGAGCUGUGCAAUGACUGCUGUUGUAGCGCAUUAAUGCCGAAACGCGUAACAGAGGACCUGAUGCGACUCCUGCCAACCGCGUCUCACUGCGCUGUCGCUGUAUUUUCUCACCGUGGUCGGUCUUCGCGCCAUCGAGGAACCCUCUCCCCUCUUUGCUUCGUUCGGUGAACGCAGUGGUAAUGACGGUGUGCUUUGUGAGGUGCGAAUUUGAGGAGAGGGGUGUGUGUGCCCCGUACACACGCAGCAGGCUCUGCGGCAUAGUCCAGGCACCCACUAUUUCUGCCCUGUCCUCAUCCUAUCACAACAACGAAAUAAUGUUGUGCACUCUCUUUGUGUCUUCGUGUGCCGUAUCCUCUAAUGUGGUGUUUGCUUCCUUUUUUCUUCCUCUCUUGACUGCCCCCCCCCCCAACCCCGGGUGACGGAGGGGGGGACCUCAAUGUGUGGUAUCUGAG
This 4927-nucleotide unclassified non-coding RNA is filed under the name Leishmania donovani. Its description in RNAcentral is "gene:LdHU3.32.1320(CDS-product:Staphylococcal_nuc lease_homologue/Tudor_domain_containing_protein_putative)". The record is from RNAcentral. Lineage: Eukaryota; Euglenozoa; Kinetoplastea; Trypanosomatida; Trypanosomatidae.